This 568-nucleotide ribosomal RNA is filed under the name Sardinella maderensis (Madeiran sardinella). RNAcentral's name for it is "partial 16S ribosomal RNA". It matches the Rfam family "Bacterial large subunit ribosomal RNA", at positions 1845 to 2610 of the family's 2925-position model. Lineage: Eukaryota; Metazoa; Chordata; Actinopteri; Clupeiformes; Clupeidae. The record is from RNAcentral.
AUAGGAGGUCCCGCCUGCCCUGUGACCAAAAGUUUAACGGCCGCGGUAUUUUAACCGUGCAAAGGUAGCGCAAUCAAUUGUCUUUUAAAUGGAGACCUGUAUGAAUGGCAUAACGAGGGUUUAACUGUCUCUUUUUUCUGGUCAAUGAAACUGAUCUGCCCGUGCAGAAGCGGGCAUACUAACACAAGACGAGAAGACCCUAUGGAGCUUUAGACGCCCACCAACCGCGAAAAGCACCCCGACAACGGGCCUCCAGACAACGCGACCCUGGUAUAAACGUCUUCGGUUGGGGCGACCACGGGGGAAAACAAAGCCCCCGAGAGGAUUGGGGAUAUAACCCUAAAACCAAGAGCCACAGCUCUAAGUCACAAAAUAUUUGACCCACAAUGAUCCGGCUUACUGCCGAUCAACGGACCAAGUUACCCUAGGGAUAACAGCGCAAUCCUCUCCCAGAGUCCAUAUCGACGAGAGGGUUUACGACCUCGAUGUUGGAUCAGGACAUCCUAAUGGUGCAGCCGCUAUUAAGGGUUCGUUUGUUCAACGAUUAACAGUCCUACGUGAUCUGAGU